AGAGUUUGAUCCUGGCUCAGAUUGAACGCUGGCGGCAGGCCUAACACAUGCAAGUCGAGCGGAAACGAAGAGGUGCUUGCACCUCUGGCGUCGAGCGGCGGACGGGUGAGUAAUGCUUGGGAAUAUGCCUUAUGGUGGGGGACAACAGUUGGAAACGACUGCUAAUACCGCAUGAUGUCUACGGACCAAAGUGGGGGACCUUCGGGCCUCACGCCAUAAGAUUAGCCCAAGUGGGAUUAGCUAGUUGGUGAGGUAAUGGCUCACCAAGGCGACGAUCCCUAGCUGGUUUGAGAGGAUGAUCAGCCACACUGGGACUGAGACACGGCCCAGACUCCUACGGGAGGCAGCAGUGGGGAAUAUUGCACAAUGGGCGCAAGCCUGAUGCAGCCAUGCCGCGUGUGUGAAGAAGGCCUUCGGGUUGUAAAGCACUUUCAGUAAGGAGGAAAGGUUAAGUGUUAAUAGCACUUAGCUGUGACGUUACUUACAGAAGAAGCACCGGAGUAACUCCGGGCCAGCAGCCGCGGUAAU
This 528-nucleotide ribosomal RNA is filed under the name Pseudoalteromonas sp. Md 213. Its description in RNAcentral is "bacterial SSU rRNA". It matches the Rfam family "Bacterial small subunit ribosomal RNA", at positions 8 to 524 of the family's 1533-position model. Lineage: Bacteria; Pseudomonadati; Pseudomonadota; Gammaproteobacteria; Alteromonadales; Pseudoalteromonadaceae. The record is from RNAcentral.